Molecule: ribosomal RNA, 208 nt
Filed under: uncultured bacterium
Lineage: Bacteria
Description: partial 16S ribosomal RNA
Rfam family: Bacterial small subunit ribosomal RNA
Source: RNAcentral
CACGUAGGCGGACAUUUAAGUCAGGGGUGAAAUCCCGGGGCUCAACCUCGGAACUGCCUUUGAUACUGGGUGUCUAGAGUAUGGAAGAGGUAAGUGGAAUUGCGAGUGUAGAGGUGAAAUUCGUAGAUAUUCGCAGGAACACCAGUGGCGAAGGCGGCUUACUGGUCCAUUACUGACGCUGAGGUGCGAAAGCGUGGGGAAGCAAACA